This is a small nuclear RNA of Sorex araneus (European shrew), 105 nucleotides long. The record is from Ensembl. NCBI's taxonomy places the organism in Eukaryota, Metazoa, Chordata, Mammalia, Eulipotyphla, Soricidae.
UUGCUUUAACAGCACAUAUACUAAGAUUGGAACAAUACAGAAAAGAUAAGAAUAGCCCCCCUAUGCAAAGAUGACAAGCAAAACUGUAAAUCAUUCCAUAAAAUA